RNAcentral lists this ribosomal RNA (873 nucleotides) under uncultured Methanocella sp. RNAcentral's name for it is "bacterial SSU rRNA". It matches the Rfam family "Archaeal small subunit ribosomal RNA", at positions 1 to 879 of the family's 1478-position model. The record is from RNAcentral. Lineage: Archaea; Methanobacteriati; Methanobacteriota; Methanomicrobia; Methanocellales; Methanocellaceae.
UCUGGUUGAUCCUGCCGGAGGUUACUGCUAUCGGUGUUCGAUUAAGCCAUGCGAGUCGAGAGGGGUCAUGCCCUCGGCGUACUGCUCAGUAACACGUGGACAACCUGCCCAAAGGUCCGGGAUAACCCCGGGAAACUGGGGAUAAUACCGGAUAAAUCAUGAGUACUGGAAGGUCUUGUGGUUGAAACUUCCGGGGCCUUUGGAUGGGUCUGCGGCUGAUUAGGUUGUUGCCGGUGUAACGUACCGUCAAGCCUGUAAUCAGUACGGGUUGUGGGAGCAAGAGCCCGGAGAUGGAUUCUGAGACACGAAUCCAGGCCCUACGGGGCGCAGCAGGCGCGAAAACUCUACAAUGCAGGCAACUGCGAUAGGGGAACAUCGAGUGAUACUCAUCUUGGGUGUCUGUCCUCCCGUCUAAAAAACGGGAGUUAGCAAGGGCCGGGCAAGACCGGUGCCAGCCGCCGCGGUAAUACCGGCGGCUCGAGUGGUAGCCGAUAUUAUUGAGUCUAAAGGGUCCGUAGCCGGCUUUGCAAGUCUUUUGGGAAAUCCAGCGGCUUAACCGUUGGUCGUCCGGGAGAUACUACAUUGCUUGGGACUGGGAGAGGUAAGAGGUACUCAGGGGGUAGGAGUGAAAUCCUGUAAUCCUUUGGGGACCACCGGUGGCGAAGGCGUCUUACCAGAACAGGUCCGACGGUGAGGGACGAAAGCUAGGGGCACGAACCGGAUUAGAUACCCGGGUAGUCCUAGCCGUAAACGAUGCUCGCUAGGUGUCACAACAAUCGUGAAUUGUUGUGGUGCCGUAGGGAAGCCGUGAAGCGAGCCACUUGGGAAGUACGACCGCAAGGUUGAAACUUAAAGGAAUUGGCAGGGGAGCAC